Molecule: ribosomal RNA, 484 nt
Filed under: uncultured bacterium
Lineage: Bacteria
Description: partial 16S ribosomal RNA
Rfam family: Bacterial small subunit ribosomal RNA
Source: RNAcentral
AUUGAACGCUGGCGGCAGGCCUAACACAUGCAAGUCGAGCGGAUGAAGGGAGCUUGCUCCUGGAUUCAGCGGCGGACGGGUGAGUAAUGCCUAGGAAUCUGCCUGGUAGUGGGGGAUAACGUCCGGAAACGGGCGCUAAUACCGCAUACGUCCUGAGGGAGAAAGUGGGGGAUCUUCGGACCUCACGCUAUCAGAUGAGCCUAGGUCGGAUUAGCUAGUUGGUGGGGUAAAGGCCUACCAAGGCGACGAUCCGUAACUGGUCUGAGAGGAUGAACAGUCACACUGGAACUGAGACACGGUCCAGACUCCUACGGGAGGCAGCAGUGGGGAAUAUUGGGCAAUGGGCGAAAGCCUGAUCCAGCCAUGCCGCGUGUGUGAAGAAGGUCUUCGGAUUGUAAAGCACUUUAAGUUGGGAGGAAGGGCAGUAAGUUAAUACCUUGCUGUUUUGACGUUACCAACAGAAUAAGCACCGGCUAACUUCGUG